AGGUCAUCUAGUCCAACCCCCUUUUUGAUACAUAAAAUCCUUUAAAAGAAUUCAAAAGAAUAUAUCUUUCCACCACACACUCUAUCCCUAACACAUUAACAUCUGUUUUACUUGUUCUUAUUUUCAGCCAUACGUAGAGGGUCAGCUUCCGGAGUGACACCAGUAAGGCCUCUUCUGCCCCAUAUGUUGCCUGCCCAUUGCCGGUAGGGCAGUUAUAGGGGGCGCUUCUUCAAACACUAAAGAAUUGGCUU
Pseudonaja textilis is the source of this 251-nucleotide non-coding RNA. The record is from RefSeq and is a predicted model, not a curated record. NCBI's taxonomy places the organism in Eukaryota, Metazoa, Chordata, Lepidosauria, Squamata, Elapidae.